AGUGAACGCUGGCGGUAGGCCUAACACAUGCAAGUCGAACGGCAGCACAGUAAGAGCUUGCUCUUACGGGUGGCGAGUGGCGGACGGGUGAGGAAUACAUCGGAAUCUACUUUUUCGUGGGGGAUAACGUAGGGAAACUUACGCUAAUACCGCAUACGACCUACGGGUGAAAGCAGGGGAUCUUCGGACCUUGCGCGAUUGAAUGAGCCGAUGUCGGAUUAGCUAGUUGGCGGGGUAAAGGCCCACCAAGGCGACGAUCCGUAGCUGGUCUGAGAGGAUGAUCAGCCACACUGGAACUGAGACACGGUCCAGACUCCUACGGGAGGCAGCAGUGGGGAAUAUUGGACAAUGGGCGCAAGCCUGAUCCAGCCAUACCGCGUGGGUGAAGAAGGCCUUCAGGUUGUAAAGCCCUUUUGUUGGGAAAGAAAAGCAGCAGGUUAAUACCCCGCUGUUCUGACGGUACCCAAAGAAUAAGCACCGGCUAACUUCGUGC
Molecule: ribosomal RNA, 493 nt
Filed under: uncultured bacterium
Lineage: Bacteria
Description: partial 16S ribosomal RNA
Rfam family: Bacterial small subunit ribosomal RNA
Source: RNAcentral